This 475-nucleotide ribosomal RNA is filed under the name uncultured Glomus. Its description in RNAcentral is "SSU rRNA". It matches the Rfam family "Eukaryotic small subunit ribosomal RNA", at positions 569 to 1054 of the family's 1831-position model. The record is from RNAcentral. Lineage: Eukaryota; Fungi; Glomeromycota; Glomeromycetes; Glomerales; Glomeraceae.
AGCAGCCGCGGUAAUUCCAGCUCCAAUAGCGUAUAUUAAAGUUGUUGCAGUUAAAAAGCUCGUAGUUGAAUUUCGAGAUCAAAUUGUUGGUCGUGCCUUGGUACGCACUGGCAUUAUUGGUUUCUCCCUUCUGACGAACCAUGAUGUCAUUAAUUUGGUGUCUUGGGGAAUCAGGACUGUUACUUUGAAAAAUUAGAGUGUUUAAAGCAGGCUCACGCUUGAAUACAUUAGCAUGGAAUAAUGAAAUAGGACGUUUGAUUCUAUUUUGUUGGUUUCUAGGAUCGACGUAAUGAUUAAUAGGGAUAGUUGGGGCAUUAGUAUUCGAUUGUCAGAGGUGAAAUUCUUGGAUUUAUUGAAGACUAACUACUGCGAAAGCAUUUGCCAGGAUGUUUUCAUUAUCAAGACGAAGUUAGGGGAUCGAAGACGAUCAGAUACCGUCGUAGUCUUAACCAAUAAACUAUGCCGACUAGGGAUC